AACCUCCCGGGCCACCCGGCCUGCGGCGGAAUGUUGCGUAAAGGGAAAGGUCGUAGUCAAACCCCACAGCCACGCGAACUCUAAGUCAGCCACGAAUAGGCUAUCCCAACUAACGGCGGGAAAGACUCCACGGAGGGUGUAAGACCCGUGUGGGCGUGUGUCAAAGCUGUGUGGGCUCGGCCUCUUUUCCCUGAGAGUCGCGUUGCUUGAGCAUGCAGCGCUAAGCAGGUCGUAAACUCGAUCUAAGGCUAAAUAUCUCCACAGAACCGAUAGCGAACAAGUACCGUGAGGGAAAGUUGAAAAGCACUCUGGAGAGAGAGUCAAAAGACCGUGAAACCGUUCAGAGUAUAAGCCCAUGGCAGCUUGGAAGGCAUAUCGAUGGCGGGGCAUCGGAACCCUUCUCUCUUUACGAGGGAUUGUGAACUGGUGUUACCUUGUUUCUGUAAUGGCUCGUCAAGGUAGGGGCUUCAAGUAGUCACCGCCGUCGUGCGGGAGGUAUUCAGGCAUGUUGUUUGGUUUUGCAGUUGGCUUCAUUGUUGGCUGUAGGGCCCUUCGUGUUUGGUGCUUCUUUAACACGGACGUUCAGAGUCAGUAACAAGACGCGAUAAACAGCCCACCACGGCACGUUGUGAGGUCACCCACAGGCUGGACUUUGGAUUGCGAUCCUUGACGCCGAGCAAGCACAAUGCGUGUCGCUGAUAUUCCUUACCAUAAUAUAAAUGUGGACGGUGGAAUGACACGUGCUCAACAGUCAGGUUCGGGCUAUGACACAGUACUGGUAUGAUCCUCAUGCGACGAGCCGGCUCUGGCCAAAAUUCCGAUGCACAGGUCUUCCGCAUGUGCCGCGGUUGACCGCGCCCUUUGACGGUCUGGACGAGUUAAUUAAAGUCCUCCUAGUCGGGUGUCGGAAAGAGUGGUGUAAAGUCCAAGCCCAUCGGUCACGUCUCGAAACACGGGCCAAGGAGUAUAGCAUGUGUGCAAGUCUAAGGGUCUCACAAAACCUGAAGGCGAAGUGAAAGCAAGUACGCGGCGGGUGAUCUACGGAAAUAGACCGUCAGCUAGAGGAGCUCGUCUCCUCCGGCUUUGGCAGAGUUGAUCCUGCAGCGGUACCUCGUACGUACGCUCAGGCGCAAACUCCAGGCUCACGUAUAGCACUGGUUUUCGGACUGUGCUGUGAGCACUGUGGAGCAUGCAUGCUAUGACCCGAAAGAUAGUGAACUAUGCCUGGCGAGGGCGAAGCCCCAGGAAACUGGGGUGGAGGCCCGUAGCCGUUGUGACGUGCAAAUCCAU
RNAcentral lists this ribosomal RNA (1290 nucleotides) under Gammarus aequicauda. RNAcentral describes it as "partial 28S ribosomal RNA". It matches the Rfam family "Eukaryotic large subunit ribosomal RNA", at positions 115 to 902 of the family's 3401-position model. Lineage: Eukaryota; Metazoa; Arthropoda; Malacostraca; Amphipoda; Gammaridae. The record is from RNAcentral.